This 779-nucleotide ribosomal RNA is filed under the name Bacillus sp. PG_05. Its description in RNAcentral is "bacterial SSU rRNA". It matches the Rfam family "Bacterial small subunit ribosomal RNA", at positions 56 to 818 of the family's 1533-position model. Lineage: Bacteria; Bacillati; Bacillota; Bacilli; Caryophanales; Bacillaceae. The record is from RNAcentral.
UGCAGUCGAGCGGACCGAUGGGAGCUUGCUCCCUGAGGUUAGCGGCGGACGGGUGAGUAACACGUGGGUAACCUGCCUGUAAGACUGGGAUAACUCCGGAAAACCGGGGCUAAUACCGGAUGCUUGAUUGAACCGCAUGGUUCAAUCAUAAAAGAUGGCUUCGGCUAUCACUUACAGAUGGACCCGCGGCGCAUUAGCUAGUUGGUGAGGUAACGGCUCAACAAGGCGACGAUGCGUAGCCGACCUGAGAGGGUGAUCGGCCACACUGGGACUGAGACACGGCCCAGACUCCUACGGGAGGCAGCAGUAGGGAAUCUUCCGCAAUGGACGAAAGUCUGACGGAGCAACGCCGCGUGAGUGAUGAAGGUUUUCGGAUCGUAAAACUCUGUUGUUAGGGAAGAACAAGUACCGUUCGAACAGGGCGGUACCUUGACGGUACCUAACCAGAAAGCCACGGCUAACUACGUGCCAGCAGCCGCGGUAAUACGUAGGUGGCAAGCGUUGUCCGGAAUUAUUGGGCGUAAAGCGCGCGCAGGCGGUUUCUUAAGUCUGAUGUGAAAGCCCCCGGCUCAACCGGGGAGGGUCAUUGGAAACUGGGGAACUUGAGUGCAGAAGAGGAGAGUGGAAUUCCACGUGUAGCGGUGAAAUGCGUAGAGAUGUGGAGGAACACCAGUGGCGAAGGCGACUCUCUGGUCUGUAACUGACGCUGAGGCGCGAAAGCGUGGGGAGCGAACAGGAUUAGAUACCCUGGUAGUCCACGCCGUAAACGAUGAGUGCUA